CAGGUCGGCUCCUCUCAAAUGAAUCAGCUUGCCGGUGUUUGGCGGCAUCACAGGUGUGAUAACUAUCUACGCUUGUGGUUUUCCGCCAGGUAACCUCCAGCGAUGGGGGGUUCGCUGGAGCUCACAAAUGUCUCUCCUCGGCGAGGACAGGUCUUUGAACGUUUGAUCUCAAAUCAGGUAGGACUACCCGCUGAACUUAA
This 200-nucleotide unclassified non-coding RNA is filed under the name soil metagenome. RNAcentral's name for it is "partial contains internal transcribed spacer 2 and large subunit ribosomal RNA". The record is from RNAcentral.